GUCUUUUUGUCUUUUUGUCUUGUCUAGGGCCACUCCUGCAGCAUAUGGAGGUUCCCAGGCUAGGGGUCUAAUCAGAGCUAUAGCCACCAGCCUACACCAGAGCCACAGCAACACUAGAUUUGAGCCACGUCUGCAACCUACACCACAGCUCACGGCAACGCCAGAUCCUUAACCCACUGAGCAAGGCCAGGGAUCAAACCUGCACCCUCAUGGUUCCUAGUCAGAUUUGUUAACCACUGAGCCGCAACGGGAACUCCUACAACGUCAUUCUUAAAACAUGAUGCACCUUCCAUCUUUCCUGACAUCUUAUCUCUGUGGAAGGGUGCUACCUCUUAGAAAAAUAAAGGCAACACAUUUAUUGCCCACUAUGUAAAGAUUUCAUAUGAAAUUUUUCUUAAGCCGAUUUCAUUUUUGGCUUCCCCACAGCAUAUAGAGUUCCUAGGCCGGGGAUCAGAUCUGAACCACAGUUAUGACCCAAGCCGCAGCUACAGCAACACUGGAUCCUUAACCACUGAGCUGGGCCGGGGAUCAAACCUGCAACCCAGCUCUUCCAAGACACUGACAAUCCCAUUGCACCACAGUGGGAACCCGUAAUUUUUUUUUUAUUUUAUGGCUACACCUGUAACAUGUGGAGGUUCCUGGGUCAGGGAUUGAAUCCUAGGUGCAGUUCUGACCUAUGCCACAGUUGUGGCAACACCAGAUCCUUUAACCAGGCCAGGGAAUGAACCUGUGCCUCCCCAGUGACCUGAACCACUGCAGUCAGAUUCUUAACCCACUGUGGCACAACAGGAACUCCUCUUAAGCUGACUUUAAUAUGUCAAAGCUUUCUGAGCUAACCCAACCGUAACACUGAUAUUCCUGGAACAUUACCAUAUUUUUAGCCAUCCUUGUGAACAGCAUGGCCUUUUCCUGCAUGCCCUUGGCUUAGAUGUACCCCAGACUUAUACUUGUUUGGAACAGUUUCAUUGAAGCAUGAUUUGCAUCCCACAUAAUUCAUUCAUAUUAAGGUACAGAUCAAUGGGUUUUAAACUUAAGUGUGAAGCCAUCACUACAAUCCAGUUUUAGAAUACUUCUUUCACUCCAGAAAGUUCUCUCAUGUGGGAAGUCUUCAUUUCAUCCCACACCAGGCAGCCACUAAUCUGCUUUCCACCUCUGCAGCUUUGGCUUCUGUAAGAAUUUUCAUGGAACUGGGAUCACAAUAUAAAGUCUUACGCACCUGACUUCUUUCACUGAACAUAAUGUAUUUAGGUCCAUCCAUGUGGUAGCCUGAUCAGGAAUUUUUCCCUUCUUCCGGCUGAAGGGUUUUCCACCUGUGUAUGUCCUGCAGUUUCUUCAUCCGUUUGUCAGUUGGUGGGUGUUUGUACCUCUCUCAGUUUGGGGCUUUUAUGAAUAAUGCUUAUCUGAAUGUCCAUGCAUAAAUCCUCAUGUAGUCAACCGUUCACACUUCCCUUGAGUAGACACCUAGGAGUGGAAUUGUUUAGUCACACAAUAAAUGUACGUUUAAAUUUUAAAGGGAGUUCCCUGGUGGCUCAGCUGGUUAAAGAUCCAAUGUUGUCACUGCUGUGGUUUGGGCCACUGCCGUGGUGCAGGUUCAAAUCCUAGGCCCAGGAACUUCCACAUGUUGUGUGGGCAUGGAAGGGAAGGAAGGGAGGGAGGGAGGAAAGAACGAAGGAAGGAAGGGAGGAAGGAGCCAAACAAUUUCAUUUAUUUAUUUAUUUAUUAUGGCCACACCCAAGGUAUAUGGAAGUUCCUGGGCUAAGGGUCGAAUUGGAGCUGCAGCUGCUAGCCUAUGCCACAGCCACAGCAACCCCACAACCACAGCCACUGUAAUGUCCAAUCACCAUAUCAACCUACACCACAGAUUGCAGCAAUGCUGCAUCCUUAACCCACCGAGCGAGGUCAGGAUUGAACCCACAUCUUCAUGGACACUAUGUCAGGUUCUUAACCUGCUAAGCCACAAUGGGAACUACAAAACUGCCAAACAAUUUCAGGACAUCUUUUUGAGGCUGGAAAGGAAUGCAGAAGAGGCAGAGUCAUCCUUGGCAGAGUGCUAUCAUCCUAGAGUCAGUGCCCUUUCCUCUCCCCUACAUCUCUUUGCCCUGUUCUGUAUUAGGCUAUUCGGCAUCUGUCUCUCUCUUCUUUUGUCUGUCAGUCUGUAGAUCAUUGUUUCUCAAAAAUCCAUGUUAUUCAGAAUGAAAUUGUUUUGUGUUCAUCUGAGUCUGGUUUUUUGUUUUUGUUUUUUGUUUUUUGUUUUCAUUUUUUUCCCCAACAAGCAAUAGGUCUUUUGUCAAAUGACAUACAUAGGAAGUGAUCUUGUGUGGUCUUUGUUUCUUUAUGAUUAUAAAAAAAGGUCAUUUCCUGACAUCAUUUUUUUCAGUCAGUGUGAGGGAUUCUGUCUGGUCUGUGGUGGCCCCAUAGCUUGUGGGCUGUGAGGAAAGUCUGGUCAUUGUCCAGACACCUGUGGUGAAGUGGUUCUGGGUUAAGCCCAGCCCCUGCUCUUGGUAUGACUAAAUGUUUUCUGGGGUUGUCCCCUCCCCACCGCUAGCCUUUCGGUCCUGACGUGUUGUACCUAGACACCUAGCAGAAGACUGUUUUCUAUAAAUGUCCAGUGAAGAGUCUCGAGAUUCCCCAGCAUACCACAGCUCUGCUUCUACCCUAGGGACUUUCCAUACCUGAGGCAGCAUCCCAGGAGCCCCAACCAGCAGCACUGUCUCCCCAAGUGAAACAGGAGAGGCUAGGGGUCAAAAUGCUGGGGAUGCAACCACUGUGGAAAACAGCAUGGAGAUUCCUCAGAAAACUAAAUAUAGAACUACCAUAUGAUCCAGCAAUCCCACUCCUGGGCAUAUACCAGACAAAAGUGUAAUUCAAAAAGAUACAUGCGAGUUCCCGUCAUGGCUCAGUGGAAACAAAUCUGACUAGAAUCCAUGAGGAUGCAGGUUCAAUCCUUGGCCUCUCGCAGUGGGUUAAGGAUCUGUAACUGUGGUGUAGUCCAGCAGCUACAGCUCCAUUUUGACCCCUAGACUGGAAACCUCCUUAUGUUGUGGGUACAACACUAAAAAAAAAAAAAAAAAAAAAAAAAAAAAAAAAAAAA
This 3091-nucleotide long non-coding RNA is filed under the name Sus scrofa (pig). Its description in RNAcentral is "lncRNA (ENSSSCG00000053003.1)". Lineage: Eukaryota; Metazoa; Chordata; Mammalia; Artiodactyla; Suidae. The record is from RNAcentral.